Molecule: ribosomal RNA, 246 nt
Filed under: uncultured bacterium
Lineage: Bacteria
Description: partial 16S ribosomal RNA
Rfam family: Bacterial small subunit ribosomal RNA
Source: RNAcentral
GUCGGGGGCGAGCGUUAUCCGGAUUUACUGGGUGUAAAGGGAGCGUAGACGGCGUCGCAAGUCUGAAGUGAAAGCCCGUGGCUCAACCGCGGAACCGCUUUGGAAACUGCGAGGCUGGAGUGCUGGAGAGGUAAGCGGAAUUCCUGGUGUAGCGGUGAAAUGCGUAGAUAUCAGGAGGAACACCGGUGGCGAAGGCGGCUUACUGGACAGUGACUGACGUUGAGGCUCGAAAGCGUGGGGAGCGAA